AACGAACGCUGGCGGCAUGCCUAACACAUGCAAGUCGAACGAGACCUUCGGGUCUAGUGGCGCACGGGUGCGUAACGCGUGGGAACCUGCCCUUAGGUUCGGAAUAACUCCCCGAAAGGGGUGCUAAUACCGGAUAAUGUCUUCGGACCAAAGAUUUAUCGCCUUUGGAUGGGCCCGCGUUUGUUUAGCUAGUUGGUAGGGUAAAAGCCUACCAAGGCGACGAUCCAUAGCUGGUCUGAGAGGAUGAUCAGCCACACUGGGACUGAGACACGGCCCAGACUCGUACGGGAGGCAGCAGUGGGGAAUAUUGGACAAUGGGCGAAAGCCUGAUACAGCAAUGCCGCGUGAGUGAUGAAGGCCUUAGGGUUGUAAAGCUCUUUUAACCGGGGUGAUAAUGACAGUACCGGGAGAAUAAGCUCCGGCUAACUCCGUG
RNAcentral lists this ribosomal RNA (433 nucleotides) under uncultured bacterium. RNAcentral describes it as "partial 16S ribosomal RNA". It matches the Rfam family "Bacterial small subunit ribosomal RNA", at positions 29 to 507 of the family's 1533-position model. The record is from RNAcentral.